AACUUAUUUUCUUAAAUUUAAUCAAUACUCGUUUGAUUGUUAUUUUAUUUAAAUUUAAUAAAAGUUUAAGGUGUUGUAAUUUUUUUUUACUUUGAAUAUCUAUUUAUCUUGAAUUUUACUUGACUAUUUUGUUCUCUCACUUCCACUCUCUCAAUUAUUUUGCAAUUCUUCUUACUUCUCUCUACAAUUUCUGAACACAUGUAAGUUUUUUUUUAU
This 216-nucleotide small RNA is filed under the name Arabidopsis thaliana (thale cress). RNAcentral's name for it is "ATSL193710". Lineage: Eukaryota; Viridiplantae; Streptophyta; Magnoliopsida; Brassicales; Brassicaceae. The record is from RNAcentral.